Long non-coding RNA from Dermacentor albipictus, 3212 nucleotides. RefSeq lists it as uncharacterized. The record is from RefSeq and is a predicted model, not a curated record. Lineage: Eukaryota; Metazoa; Arthropoda; Arachnida; Ixodida; Ixodidae.
UAGGUAGUUCUUAAUAAUUUAUGAAGGUUAGUUGAUAAAAAAUUAUUGCUAAUUAAUUAGUGGUUCUUAAGUGCCGUUAUUUUGUGUUUGAAAGGUUUUUAUAACUGAAUACGAUAGUGAAACCAUGUGAAGCUGUGAACGGCUUUCGGACUCAGUUAUUCGGUUGCAGUUGUGCGGUAGUUCACGCCUCGUGCUUCUUGAUGAAAGUAUUUUCUUUUCGGACAUCAUGACGCACAUUUUAGUGGAAUGCUUUAACGACGAUAAGUGGGACGUUUACCCGGUGAAGUGGUUGGCUCACCCAACAACUAGUCUUCUACUGAUGUGCGAGCCUGACGGUUUUGAUGAGUUGCGCGGCAGAGGCCAUGAUGCCUGUUGGAGAGAAGGCACCCCGAAGCAGUCGCAGCCGCACUUCUGAAGAUAGGUUACGUAUGCAGUAAAUUCCCAGAUGUUAAAGUGUUCUACGCCAAAAGCACCUUGGCGUCAUGCAAGAGACACCCGUUGUUAUGCGGCUGAUUCACUAGCAAGCUCGCAUCAAGUGGGAUUUUCAACUAUUUUUUGUGUUACUCUGUGGUGUACCAGCUGCUGCAUGGAUGCUGUGAAGGCUUACUUUCGAUUUGCUCUGGCGUUUAGUAGUAAAGGAUGGGCUACCUUUUGAGGGGAGGCAUUUAUUUUUGUUUGUGAGAAUGUUUACCAGCCUAACCAAGUGAUACGUGGGUACUGUAAACAGCAGCACGAACAGAGGCGGACGACGAAAUAGGUAGGAGCACACACGAGCGCAAGCUCUACUAAAUGUUUGCUUUUGAUGAAAAAGGUAUUAAACACACUGGUCAACUUGGCAAAGGUUAAAAUCCGUGCGUGCGUGGCAGAAACAGCCACGUGCGACAAGAAAAAAAUAUGAAAAAGCCAUGUCAUGUAGAAUAAACGUGCGUGAAAAACGAGAACUUUCGGUCAAAUCUAUUGAAAACGCGAAAGAUUUGUCCGAUAAGUGAUACUACCCAACGGGAAAUACUCUUUUGAGAGCAACUUUUUCCCCACUAAGGGCAACAGAUAACUUGGUUACGCAAUUGUUUCGUUUGUGAUCAAUAAAUAUUGCUUCUGGAACUCCUCUGGUGUUGCGGUAAAGAGCAGAAAGAACGAUUCUUUCAUCACAGAGACCAGAACACAAAAGGACUUACGGAAGCAUUAUUUAUUGAUCACGAAGAAAUAUUCAUAAACAAGAUUUCUGUGACCCUUAGUGGGAAAGAGUUGCUACAGUACUUCUCGUUAAUAUCGCUUACAGGAGAAAGCUUUCAGUUUUCAUGUUUUUGUUAGUUUUUGGCGCACAUGUUUAUUCUACAGGACGUAUUUCGGUCCUUUUUUGUUGUGCCGGGCUGUGUAUGCUGAGCAUCCAUGGCUUUUUCUUUGUGAAGUUGGCCAGUAUGUUUAAAAUCUUCGUCUUCACGAAUAAACUUCUACUUGAGUCAGCAUUCAUGUGUGUUCCUACCUUAAUUCAUCCUUCUCGUCUCUGUUUGGGUGGUUGUGAAAUAUAAAUGUACACCGAAUUGGCGAAGUGUCCAUAGAAUUGAUACAUGAAGUUAUUUGCGCUGUUCAUUUCAGGAAGAACGCUAUAGGGUCUUAUCUUCUCUUUGUUUUCGACACUGAGUACAUUUUUCUAGUUCAAUUUCAAGGAGUCUAAGGAAGCCGAUAAGAGUGAUGGUAACUUCCUUUGUGUGUAACAUUUAUGAAUUUCAUCCAUUCAAGGCAUGACAUGGUACAUGCCUGAUUGUAGGUUGCAAGCAUUCGUAGUAAGAUCUACUUUUCGGUUCUCAUGACGCUUCUUUGUACUGCGCUGCAUUCUCCAGGCACAUGAACCUUUUUAUGCUCUAAGUGCAUGCGUUCUUUUUCUAUAUGUUGGAGCGAAAAUUGUAAACUUAAAUAUGCAUAUAUAUCCUUUUCCUUGUAAUCUUUUUCAACAUGGGUGCGCUGUAGCUCCCUCUGUCUUUCAGUUACUGCUUUGUCCCAAUUUUUAUGCAACCUUUGUAUAUUUUAUGCAGCAGAAUUCUGGUGCUAUUUUAAUAACAUUUUAUCUGUGAAAUUGAGGUAAUUGGUGUUUCGUAUAUGGUUUAUUUGCGUUUUUCACUGUCUCAGCAAUCGGGCUGUCUAGUCAUUGGAACCUUUUCUCAUACUGUAAGACUAUUUCUGGGGUGCUUGAUGCUGAAAGUGCAGGUGACCAUUUAUUUGGCUGUUUGGAAUUGUGUUAUCCAUGUGUUACUACCAAUUUUCUGUGCUAAAUAAUUAUUUUUUCUCUUAUCGUUCAAGGUAUUACCCUUUCCUUAUCUCUUUAUUGACUGAGGUAGCACUUAGUUGCUGGGUAUAGGAAAAAAGGCCCCAAAAGUGCUUUAAUUAGCUUUGUGCAAGUCCAGAAAUAUUACCUGAAAAUGAGCUCACUAAAUUGAGGAAAUGCCACUAACGAACUCCUCUGUACCCCAAAUUAACUUAAUCAAACGGCGUACUGUUUGUUCUUGACUUGUACCAUGGGAUAAGCUGCUUUCAUUACACAAAAGCUUUACAAGUUUAUUUCUGAAGAAAGCAAUCCUGGCUUGUCAGAAACACAAUUCAGGUGUUCAUCAUGCCCGACAACUUUCUAAAUGAUGUCUCGUCAAAUAAUAGCUAAGUUGAGUGAUGUUAUUUUAUAAAAUAAUUGGGCAACAUGAAAAAAUAUAUAUCUCGAAAACAAAGCUCAGGCAAGUCUACUUUGGUACUUCAUUAAAUUUUAAUCACGGUGAAAGACGCGUGCUAAAGGUUGUAUAUAUUUACGUGAAGUCAUUCGUUUCAAGUUGGUUAUUUUGCCUUCUUACAGUCAGCCGUAGCUCUUCCUGUGAUGUGUUAGUGUGCGCAACAUUUUAAUGUAACAUAUUCAGAUGUCUUUUGUGUAUUCACAUGCAAGCAGCUCCAAGUGUUCAUGUGUUCAAAGUUGGUUGUUGCAACGGUAUGCUUAAGCCCUGCCUUUUGAGUCGCUUUGCCUUCUAGUCAUAAACUUCAGUCGAUAGUGAAGAGCACAAUGAUCCUUUUGAUUGGAUUCAUAUGUAUAGGUUUUUUCAAAUGUAUUUACACUGCUAGAGUGCUGUAGGUACUAGCCUGUGUCUCCAGCUUCGAUGUAGUGGUGCCUUAUGUACUGUAAUAAUGUUUCACGUGCACACAUCUUUAGUGUAAAUAAAGGUACUUCAAGUUGA